Long non-coding RNA from Carassius auratus (goldfish), 867 nucleotides. RefSeq lists it as uncharacterized. The transcript is spliced from 2 exons. NCBI's taxonomy places the organism in Eukaryota, Metazoa, Chordata, Actinopteri, Cypriniformes, Cyprinidae. The record is from RefSeq and is a predicted model, not a curated record.
AACUACUCACUUACUUACAUUUUGUUGAUUAUGUGACCGUCGUCACGCUGAAUUCCAGUGGAGUAGGCCAUCAUUGCGUCAUCCGAGAGAAACCUGGAAAAAAACAGAGAAAUAUCAUUAAUACACGAGGGAAUCGGCCAGUUUUGUUAUUUUAGAAAUCUAGAAUCUGGAUUUUUUCAAUUCAUGAAGAUGGCGAGCCAACCGUAAAUCGAUCAGAAACAACUAUCCUUUGUCUUUUUGGACAUCUGUAUCACUUCACUUUCGGCAGGACAUCGCGUCGGAUUUUUUUCUUUUGAGGUUUGAAACAUCUGACAUUUUCAUUUUUCCUUUUGAGCAUUGGAUCACUGAUUUAAAGGAACUGAGGAGACAAUAUCAUUCUUUAUUGUUCAGACUGACAUUUUGUUUGAACUGUGCAUUCAAGAAUUUCUGAUACUGCAUUGAUACGCAUUCAUUUAGACUUUGUUUCGUAUAAACAAGUGUUUACAGUGGACAUUUGUACGUGUGACUAAACACAAGUCCUGACAUUCGUGUUUAUUUUAUAUUUACUGAUCUUGAGUAUACAUUUGAGUUGUGUACAUAAAAAAGGAGAUCAGAAAUUGAAUGUUUAUUACAAUUUAAUUUGCAUUGGAGAGAAGAAUUUUCUAUGUCAAGGGUUAAAUUUCAAAUUCAUUUAGCUUAAUUGGUAAAAGUAAUAUUUAAAGCAGAUUUAAUAUUUCUUUUUUUGGUUUUAUUUUUAUUUUUUGUUUGUUCUUGUUAUUUUUGCCCUUUAUGCAGUGUCAUUGAUAUUUUUUUUUCCCAACCAGUGUAUCCUAUCAAUCGCGCUUACAAGUCAAUUUUAUCCAAUAUAAAGGUGCGCAUUUACAUCUA